Molecule: long non-coding RNA, 6072 nt
Organism: Gallus gallus (chicken)
Lineage: Eukaryota; Metazoa; Chordata; Aves; Galliformes; Phasianidae
Source: Ensembl
GUCUUGCUGGAAAGAGCUUCCUAAUAGCACGGCUGUGAGUGAAACCAGCACAGUAUGUUCAGUGUGGAGGUCCUCCUGAUUUCACAUGGAUCCAAACUGUCUAAAAAACUCCCUGCUUCAUACAAGAACAGAUAUGAUGGAUACUGAUUAUCUGCAUGAAUCCACAGGGAACAUAUCUGCUCAGAGGACACCGAAUGGUCCUGAAGUAGAACCUGAGAACCAAUUCAACCAGCGCUGAAAGCAGCCAUGGGACCCAAGGGAGGCAAGUGGGCCCUAGUUAUCACCAUGACCUUCAGGGUUUGUCCCCUUUUCAUACUUCAGAAGGGAGACAAACUGAGAAGACACAGUGAGGAAAAGAAUGUGUAUAGUGUUUUGUUCUUUUCUACUUCUUCAGCUUUUAUUGGUGUCCACAGGAAAAAAGGAAUCAAAAUCCAGGAAAGAGGGAACCUAUCAGAAAAAAAAAAUGCAGAAGACCCUACUAAAACUAGAAGUAAUUACAGUUCAAAGGAUUCAAGCAAAACAAAAACAAAAACAAAAACAAACAACAACAAAAAAAACCUACCAUGAGAACAAAAGAAGAGUGAGCAACUUCACCCCCACGCAGCCAAGCAUCAAAUUAGGAAAACUAUAGUCCAGAUAGAUUUUAGUCUAGCCAGGGAUGUCAAGACAAGAGGAAGGGCUUCUAUAAACACAUCUAUGCUGAAAGGAAAUCUUCAGAAAACAUGCAUCCUCUCCAAAAGAAAUUGCAGACCUGGUUACCUGGGAUAUGAAUAUGGAGGAGACAGCUACUCAACAAUUUUUUGCUUCAGUCUUCACCAGAAAUUGUUCUAGCCACACCACUAAAGUCACAGAAUGCAAAAGCAGAGACUGGGAGAAUAAAAUACUGCCUACUCUAGGUGAAGGUCAAGUUCAAAUCAACCUAAGGAGUUACACGUGUUGAUGGGACCUGACAAGAUGCAUCCAAUGGGAGUGGUGGAUGAAGUUGCUAAGCCACUUCUCAUAUUUCAGAAGCCAAAAGUUCCCACUAACUGGAAAGUGAAAACAUAGCCCCCAUUUUCAAAAAGGGGAAAAAAGAAGACUCAGGGAACUACAAACCAGUCAGCCACACUUCUGUGCCUGGAGUGGAUCCUUCUAAAACUAUGAUAAGGCAUAUGGAUAACAAAGAGUUGAUUGGUGACAGCUAGAAUGGCUUCACUUAGGGCACAUAAUGCCUGACAAAUUCGUGACCUUCUACGGCGGGGUUAUACUGUUGGUGGAUAAGGAAAGAGUAACUGACAUCAUCUGCCUGGAUACAUUAAUUUGAUGAAUGGAUCACUUGGUGAAUAAGGAACUGGCUGGAUGUUUGCACUCAAAGAGUUACGGUUGGCAGCUGAAUGCACAGGUGGAGGCCAGUGACAAGGGAUGCUCCUCAGGGGUUUGUACUAGGAAUAGCAUAAUUUAACAUCUUUGUUGGUGACACAGACAGGGGGAUUGAGUGCACUUUCCACAAGUUUGUAGGUGACACCAGGCCUAGAGGUGCAGUCAACAUGAUGGAGGAAAGGGAUGACAUCCAGAAGGACCUUGACAGGCUCAAGAGAUGGGCCUGUAAGAAAAACGUGUAUUUCAACAAGUCCAAGUGAUAGGUCCUGCACGUGGGUCAGGGCAAUUUGGAGCAUGAAUGCAGGCUAGGAAACACAUGGGUGAAGAGCAGAACUGUGGAGAAUGACUUGGGAGUACACAUGUUUGAAAAGGUCAACAUGAGCUAGCAAAGUGCACUUAUAGACAAGAAAGCCAAGCAUAUCCUGGACUGCAUGAAAGGAAAUACAGCUGAGAGUGAUUCUUCUCCUUUACUCUGCUUUUGGGAGACCUCAUUUAGAGUUUUGUAUUCAACUCAGGGAUCUCCAGCAUAAGAAAAACAUGGGCCUGUUAGCCUGGGUCCAUAGGAGAGACAUGAAGAAGAUCAGAGGGCUGGAGCACUCUUCCUAUAAAGACAGAGAGAACUGUGGUUAUUCAGCCUAAAGAAGUCUUAAGACUAAAGAAGAGAACUUAAAGAGGCCUUCCAGUAUUUAAGUACUAGAGGUCUAUGGGAAAGAUGGGGAGGCAUUUUUUAUAUGGGAAUAUAAUAGGACAAGGGUUAACAGUUUCUCUAAAAAGAAGAUAGGCUUAGAAUUGAUGUAAGGAAUAAAUUCUUUACUCAGAGGGUGGGGAAGCACUCGCACAGGCUUCCCAGAGAAGCUGUGGAUGACUGAACCUGUAGGUGUUCAAGACCAGGUUGGAUACGGCUCUGGGCAACCUGAUCUAGUGGCUGGCAAACCUGUCCAUGACAGAACAGGUGUGGGGCAGGGGGGAGGUAGAAAUGGAUGAUUUUUAAGAUCCCUUCCAACCUGAACAAUUCUAUGAUUCUAAACUAAAAAUUUCAACUGAGUAUUUUAACAAAGUUUGCAGGUUUUUUUCCCCCCUCUCCCUCUUUGGCUACUAUUGAGCUCUUGAUGCUCAGCCAUAAAACUUCAGUAAUAUCAGCAAUAAAGUUUCGUUUUACCUGUCAUCAGAUAAGUAACAGUUUAGUAAUGGCUUGGGGUGAUUGAUGACAAAGUAGCUAAAAAAAUAACUAGUACUAUAAACCCUAUUUACAACAUCUAAGAAGAACCUUGAAAAGAUAAUACUAUGGAUUACCUUUGUGUUAUUUUCUAUACUCGUUAUAAAAUUUGUCACGGGGUCUUUAAUUGUCUCAUUUUCCAUUUUUUAUAGUCUUUGUCAUGACAAUAAGUUUUCACAUAAUUCAGGGUUUGCUAGAUUGAUUCAAACUAUGCAGUAGAAGUCUGAAUGUCUUAGAGAUGUUGCAGCACGAUCGUCUGACUCUUCAACCUUUGUUCACCCAGUGAUAAAAUUUGUGGAGGAAGAGCAAUAGACAAUUUUAUGCCCUCCAAAUGAGCAUCCUUUCCCUACCUGCUAUUUUCACAGCCUUAUUCCUUCCCUUUCCAUGAGCUAUCUGCUUAAGGAUUAACUAAUUCGGAGUCAGGAGUCAGGCCUGCGUGGAUCCCUUCAUGCUGCCUUCAGCUUUCAGUAAUCUGAAGUUUUCUUAGAACUUAGGGGAUCACAAAAUACUCUUCUUUUUAUUUUAAUGAAACCAAGAUCCUUGAAGAAAUCUGAAGGAAAAGGGAUCAUGAAAGUACCUAGAGGCUCAGUAAGAUGUAUAAAACCCUAUUUUUCCAGAUACCAUCAAGUGUGAGUCAGUUCCAAGUUGUCUUGGUGUCUGAAUCAUGAUUUUUUAAUUCCUGUGGUUGGCAGUGUGGAUGAUGAUUGAAAAAGACUGCUGCUAUAUACUCAAAAUCUUGUCUUCCAGCAAAGAUAUUCACAGCUCCUGGUGCGGCUUUAGGGAGGAUUCCUUAGAGCCUAUCUGGCAAAACUCAUGCUUUUUGACUUCUCCAGCUGUCUCACUGACUCCUUUUCAUCCCCUAAAAUUAUGUCUUGGCCUCCAUUAAUCACAUUUGUCAUGUUUUGCCUAUACCAUAGCAAUAUGAUUCUUGUGCACAAAGAUGUUAUAAGUUCAAAGGGUAUGCUACACUACAUAUAGCAUAUUGCUUACAUGAUACUGAUCACUGCAAGCAUGUUUUAUAUUUCUGCUGCUUCUUACUUUAUUUAUUGAGUCUCAGGCAUACUAGAAUAUUAUGUAAAGCAAAAGGAUGAAGACAGUGUAGGUAAAACUGUUUUUCAGAAGCUUUCAUGCAGUUCCAGAAGAGUAAAAUGGCAACUAUGGAAAGGAGAACCACCACAGAUCUCAAGGAAUCAUAGAAAAGACCUUAAAGAUCAUCAAAUCCAACCAUGAUCUAGCCAUACUAGCCUAACUCUAACAACCCUCCGCUAAAUCAUGUCCCUGAGCACCACAUCCAAAUGGUUUUUAAACACAUCCAGGGAUGGUGACACAACCACCUCCCUGCGGAGCCUAUUUUAGUGCUUAACAACCCUUUCUGUAAAGUUGCUUUUCCUGAUACCCAACCUAAACUUAACCUGGUGCAACUUGAGGUCAUUUCCCCUUGUCCUGUCACCAGUGAGAAGAGACCAGCCCUGUUCUCACUGUAGGCACCUUUCAGAUAUUGGAAGAGAGCAAUAAGGUCUCCCCUCAGCCUCCUUUUCCCCAGACUAAACAGCCCCAGUUCCUUCAGUCUCUCUACAUAGGGCAUAUUCUCCAAGCCCUUCACCAGCCUUGCUGCCUUUCUUUGGACCUGCUCCAGCACCUCAGUGUCCUUUCUCUAUUCAGGUGCCCAAAACUGAACACAGUACUUGAGGUGAGGCCUCAUCAAUGCCAAGUACAGGGGCAGGAUGACUUCCCUAGUCCUGCUCACCACACCAUGCCUGAUACAAGCCAGGAUGCCAUUGGCCUUCUUGACAACCUGGGCACACUGCUGGCUCAUAUUCAGCUGACUGUCCAACAGUACACCAAGGUCCCUUUCCAUCAGGCAGCUUUCCAGCCACUCCUUCCUCAAGCCUGUAGGGUUGCCUGGGGUUGUUGUGACCAAAAUGCAGGACCUGACACUUGGCCCUCUUGAAACACACAGUUUACCUUGUCCAGUCUGUCCAGGUCCCUCUGUAGUGUCCUCCUCCCCUCAGGCAGAUCAACACUCCCUCCCAGCUUGGUGUCAUCUGCAGGCUUACUGAGGGUGCACUCAAUCCCCUCAUUAAGAUCGUUAAUAAAGAUGUUAAAUAGAAGCAGCCCCAGUACUGAGCCCUGGGGGACACUGCUCAUGACCAGCCACCAACUGGAUGUAAAUCCAUUGACCACAACUCUUUGGGCCCGGCCAUCCAGCCAGUGUUUCACUCAGCAGAGCAUACGCCCAUCCAAAUAGUAGGCAGCCAGCUUCUCCACAAGAGUGUUGUGGGGGACAGUGUCAAAGGCUUUACUGAAGUCCAGGUAGACCACAUCAACAGCCUUACCUUCAUCCACUAAGUGGGUCACCUUGUCAUAGAAUGAAAUCAGGUUUAUCAAACAGGACCUACCAUUUGUAAACCCAUGGUGGCUGGACCUGAUCCCCCGGUUGACCUUUAACCGGUCCCUGACGGCUCCUGAGAUUAUCCGUUUCAUAACCUUUCCCGGCACUGAGGUGAGACUGGUAGUCUGUAGCUAGCAGGAUCAUCUUUCCUGCCCCUUUUGAAGAUGGGCAUCUCAUUUGCCAGUCUCCAGUCUGCUGGGAGAUCCCCGGUUAGCCAGGACUGCCGAAGGAUGAUAAGAGAGAGGCUUGGCAACCACAUCCGCCAACUCCCUCAGUACUCUAGGGUACAAUCCAACCAGCCCCAUGGACUUAUGAGCAUUCAGCUUUUGGAGCAGGUCCAAAACCAUCUCACCGUGGAUCAUGCAGAGCCUAUUCUGUUCCCCAUCCCUAUCUACCAGCACAGGAGGCUGUGUUCCCAGGGAGUAACAAGUCUUACUAUUAAAGACUGAGGCAAAGAAGGCAUUAAGCACCUCAGCCUUAUCCUGAUCCUUGGUCAUCAAGUUGCUCUCGGCAUCCAACAAAGGAUGGAGACUCUCCCUAGCCCUCCUCUUGCUGUUGAUGUAUUCAUAGAACUAUUUAUUGUUGUCUUUUACCUUAGUGGCCAAGUUCAGUUCUAGCUGGGCUUUGGCUUUUCUAAUUUUCUCACUGCACAGCUUCACUACAUACCUGUAAUCAUCCUAAGUAUCUUGCCCACUCUUCCGGAAACCAUGAACUUUCUUUUUGCUCUUGAGAUCCAGCCAAAGGUCUCUGUUCAUCCAGGCUGGCCUCCUUGCCCAUCAGCUCAUCUUCUGAACUUGGCUAUGGUCUGCACCUGCACCUUUAAAAUAACUUCCUUAAAAGUAUUCCCAGCCUUCCUGGGCUCCCAUGCUCUCCAAAACUACCUCCCAAGGGACCCUCUCAACUAUGGUCCUAAAGAGAGGUACUCUCUAAAGAGAGUACCCCCCGUAUUUUGCAAUCAGACACUGCUGUUCCAUCCAGGACAGCUCCGUAGCAGUGAACCUUGGCAAUCAAGGUCAUAUUCUUCAAUUAAAUGUCAGUUUCUCUCCAUCAAGGUACUUGUUCUAACAUGAAAAUAAACUAAUAGACUUAUGAAUAAAUAUACUAC